This 497-nucleotide ribosomal RNA is filed under the name uncultured bacterium. Its description in RNAcentral is "partial 16S ribosomal RNA". It matches the Rfam family "Bacterial small subunit ribosomal RNA", at positions 28 to 507 of the family's 1533-position model. The record is from RNAcentral.
GAUGAACGCUGGCGGCGUGCCUAAUACAUGCAAGUCGAGCGAACAGACGAGGAGCUUGCUCCUCUGACGUUAGCGGCGGACGGGUGAGUAACACGUGGAUAACCUACCUAUAAGACUGGGAUAACUUUGGGAAACCGGAGCUAAUACCGGAUAAUAUAUUGAACCGCAUGGUUCAAUAGUGAAAGACGGUUUUGCUGUCACUUAUAGAUGGAUCCGCGCCGCAUUAGCUAGUUGGUAAGGUAACGGCUUACCAAGGCGACGAUGCGUAGCCGACCUGAGAGGGGGAUCGGCCACACGGGAACUGAGACACGGUCCAGACUCCUACGGGAGGCAGCAGUAGGGAAUCUUCCGCAAUGGGGGAAAGCUCGACGGAGCAACGCCGCGGGAGUGAAUAAGGUCUUCGGAUCGUAAAACUCUGUUAUUAGGGAAGAAAAAAUGUGGAAGUAACUAUGCACGGCUUGACGGUACCUAAUCAGAAAGCCACGGCUAACUACGUG